UAACCCCCGUCACUCUUCUCCUCUCUCGACCUCUCUUCUUUUCUCAAUCUCUCUCUAAAACCCUUCCCAUUCUCUCCGAUCAAAGAUGUAUAUUAGUGUGUCGUGUGCUUAUCUUCUUCUAUGUAAGUGUAUGUAUGUAUGGUAUUGUGUGUGUGUGCAUAUUGUCUUUUAUCCAAUGGAUAAAUCUGGGAGCAUCCCAUGUUUCUAUGUGUUCAUGGCCUAUAUGUGAUGAUUUCUAGAGAGAAAAGAGAAAAUGGCCAUGGGUUGGUGACUUAUCUAUGUGGGCCCCCUCCUUUUUGUCUUUGUUGAAUUGUUAUGGAAAAGAAAAUAAUUGAAAGAUUUCCCUUCUCUAUGUGUGUGAUACAUGGGCCCCAUUUUUCUUAGUGUAUGCUUAUCCCUUUUUUGCUUUGUGUCCAAGAAAGGUGAGGAUGAGGGGUUAUGGGGUAGUGUAGGUGAUGUGUUAUCAACUUUUAAUAGGGAGGGUUGUUAGUUUGUUAUUAAAUAAGAUAAAAUUUGUUGAGGGUUGUUGGAUUUGUUAUUUUGUCAUUUUGUGAAGGAAUAAUUACAUGGGGUAGGGCAUGAGAUAAGGUGAGCUAAAAAUAAAUAAAAUUGGACUUCGGGAGGGAAAAAAUUAGGUCUCUACAUCAUGCCCAUUUUUGGGUGUAAAGACAGAGUGUUUUCAGACAAACAAUAGACAACGAGACCAAAUUUCGACCCGACCAUUAUACCAAGGAAGAAAUGAAGGAAGAAGGACUACCAAGUUGGAGGGUCGAGUGAGGUCCUGUCGGGGUUCCAGUCCGUGGCCUUGUCAUUACAUCAAAAAUAAAAAAUUACAAGUUAAAACAUAAAUAAAAUUAAAAAAACCCUAUCUAUACAGCUUCUGUCGGACUCUUGACUUGAGUUUCAUCACCCUAUUCUUCAGGUGGGCUCUUGACUUGCAAUUUCUUCAACUUGCUACUUGAUUUUCAACUUCAUCACCCUAUUCACCAGGCGGGCUCCUGACUUGCUAUUUUUUCAAUCUAUUGACUUUUAAUUUCUUCAUCUUGUUGCUUAACCUUCAACUUCUUCACUAUGUUGCAUGAAUUUUCAUAUAUUCGCCCUGUUCUUCAGGUGGUCUCCUGAAAUCACAUCAAAACUAAAAAGAAAAUUAUCCCAAUCAAAGAAAUGCAUCUUCAAUGAGUUAAAUAGAAUGAUUCAACUAAAAAGUACGUCUUGUAGGAAUCAAAGAGAAUGACUCGACUAAAAGGUACGUCUUAUAGGAAUCAAGGGAAUGAGUCGACUAAAUGGUACGUCUUAUAGGAAUCAAAGGGAAUGAGUCAACUAAAAGGUACGUCUUAUAGGAAUCAAGGUGGAUGACUCGACUAAAAGGUACGUCUUAUAGGAAUCAAAGGGAAUGACUCGACUAAAUGGUACAUCUUAUAGGAAUCAAAGGGAAUGACUCAACUAAAAGGUAUGUCUCAGAGGAAUCAAGGAGAAUGACUCGACUAAAUGGUACAUCUUAUAGGAAUCAAAGGGAAUGACUUGACUAAAAGGUAUGUCUUGGAGGAAUCAAGGAGAAUGACUCAACUAAAAGGUACGUCUUAUAGGAAUCAAGGAAAAUGACUCGACUAAGUGGUACGUUUUAUAGGAAUCAAGUAAAAUGAAUCGACUAAAAGGUAUGUCUUAUAGGAAUUAAGGGGGAUGACUCGACUAAAAGGUACAUCUUAUAGGAAUCAAAGAGAGAUGACUCGACUAAAAGGUACAUCUUAUAGGAAUCAAGGGAAAUGACUCGACUAAAAGGUACGUCUUAUAGGAAUCAAGGAAAACGACUCAACUAAAAGGUACAUCUUAUAGGAAUCAAGGGAGAUCACUCGACUAAAAGGUACGUCUUAUAGGAAUCAAAGGGGAUGACUCGACUAAAAGGUAUGUCUUGUAGGAAUCCAAGGGGAUGACUUGACUAAAAGGUACAUCUUAUAGGAAUCAAGGGGAAUGAAUCGACUAAAGGGUAGGUCUUCUAAGAGUCAAGGGAAAUAAAUCGACUAGAAGGUAUGUCUCCUAGGAGUGAAGGUUCAAUUUAAGAAGUGUAUCACCUAGCAAAUAAAAAUUUAAAUCCCUGGACAAGUGUGUCUCCGAGGGAUAUGGGAUGAUGAAUUUUUACCAUGAUUUUAUUAUCAAACCUGUGCAGCAAUAUUGCUUCCUACAUUUGUAAAAGAGAGAAAUUGCAGCCCUUGAUGUUUAUGCUCUGAAGUCCCUGCUUUGAAGGUGAUAUGUUUCCUAUUUCAUCAAAGAAAACUUGUAAGUUUAAAACAUGGUGACUGGUUUCUGGCUUUAGCUUUUGCGGCGAUCGCUCUUGCCCUCAUCACAUUUACCCUUGCGUCUAACCGUUAGCAUGCAUCAUUGACUUGCUUUAUCAUUGACCCAAACUCAGGUUAUUAAGAGUGACUCUGAAACAAACACAGUAUUUCUGCUUUGCCAUGUUUCUCAGAUAAACUCUUUGUGCCUUUGUAUUUCCAUAGGUUCCCAAACUUGUGUGUUGACAAAACUUUCUGCAUGUCCUUUUUUGGCUCACAAUCAUGUUUCUUUCAUGUGCUGGCUAUUGUCUUGCUUUGUGCAAUUAAAGAAGUCGGUAGCCAGUUUUGAAAUCUUUUCUCACUUGUUUUAACUACGGACUUGACUCAGAGACAAGAGAAAAAAUGAUAAUGAUUUUUUAUUUGGUUAACUGACUCAAGAAAAUAAAAUAAAAAUAAAGAGAAGAAAGAAAAUACAAUAAAUGUCCCCAUUUGAAAUAAAUAAAUGAAAAUUUAUCUAGAAAAGACAGUAAACUCUAAUGAUUAUGUCAUGCAGUUUGGAUUAAGCUGCCAGAUCUUUCCAUCCAAACUUCUACCAAUUUUUGUUGAGUUAAUGGCCUUAAAACUGAGUUGCUUCCUUAGGCCAAAUUCAUUCAGAAAUCUCAUUCGGCUAGUGGAGCCUUGAAGGAUUUUCUCAAACAAACCUGUUUCUUUCUCUCAGUUCACUAUUGCCUUAUGGUGACCGUGAGGAUUUUCACCAAUAAGACUCUCUCAUUUUUAUUUCUGUCAAUUUUCCAUCGCCUUACGGUGCCUGUGAGGGUUUUCACCAAUAAGACUCUUUCAUUUUUAUUUCUCUCCUAAUUUUUUAUGAUGAUGAAGAUAAGUAGUACCAAAAAUGCAUCAUCAUAUCCAUUUCAUACUUAGACUUAACAUUCUCAAAGAUUGAUCUGACGGUCUUUCUUUGGUUGUAACUUGGACUUUGGAUAAGGUUAGAAAGAAGGGAUGACAUGAGGCCCAAACGACACUUGACGUGGUGUAGGACUUACAACUUUUGGAAUCGACUCAAACAAGGAAGAUUAAAUCAUGCCCUAGUUUCUUUUAACUGGGCAAUUCUAAAUUUUUUAUUUGGUUGGACCGAGCCCUGAGUAGGGCAGCCUACGUAUCUCACCCUCGAGAGAGGAGAAUCAGGUCAUGCAUAGUUCUGUCAGCUUAUUCUUUUUUGCUUGAUUCUAACUUGUUCUUCUUUUUUUUUACUCUUUUUUCUUUGUGAUUUUUUUGACUCUAAUUUCUUGACAAUCUUUUCUUCCUUCGUGGACACAUUUUCCUCUCCUUCCCUUUUUUUUUUGGAACUUUUUGACUCUAUUCUCUUGGUCGAUACUUUUUUUUGAGCUUUGCUGGAUUUAUCUUCAUUCCAAAAGAGGGGUAUGAAAGAAAAUAACACUAAGGCUCAAAUGGGGUAGACAAAGGAUGACAGAAUGUUUGGAUAGUAGAAUAAAAUACCCUCGUCAUAUCAAUCCUUGAAAAUACUAGUACAUAGCAUGCAAUAUGAAAGUGCAUGAUCAACAUCACUUAUGACAUAUUUUACAACACUAACUUGCACCAAGCAUGUGUGUCACCUCUUUUUCUAUACUUUUCAAACAUACAACUUCACAUUUGUUAUACAUCCCUCACUUUGAAUGACUUAUGCGAAAGUGCAUGAUCAACAUCACUUAUGACAUAUUUUACAACACUAACUUGCACCAAGCAUGUGUGUCACCUCUUUUUCUAUACUUUUCAAACAUACAACUUCACAUUUGUUAUACAUCCCUCACUUUGAAUGACUUAUGCUUUCAUAGAUUUGAUUUUCUUUCUGUUCCUUUUGAUAGAAUCACGCAGACACUUUUGACCUAAUUGAGAUAUGUCUUUCAAUUGAUGACUAAGUUAUUCUUGUGAUUCUCAAAAUAAAUAGCCUUAAUUUUCAAGGAAGGCUUGAACUUGUCACCAAAUGUCUCAACACUACUAUUUUCUCAGAUGUUUCUCCUAACUUUAGCGCUCUGAUCCAAUGUUUCAUGGUUAAAUUAGAUUUUAAGAUCUGGCUGAAAAUUCUGCAAGCAUGUCAUAUCACUAGAGUCAACAUAAAAUGUACAGUAUAAAGAAAACAAACAAAUAAAACAUAUUUAAAAUACAAGGAAAAGGGGAUACCCCAUUCUAUUAAAAUGAAAGAUAGAAGGGUUUGAACAUAAUGACAAAGGGACAAAAAAAGAUAGAUCCCGAACUGCAACCAUAAAAUAAUUCGAAUAACAAAAAAGAUAAUAGAACAAACUACUAGACCUCUUCCUAGUAGGGAGAGGGAUGACUUCUCAAUUGCUCAGCUUAACAACUUAGCCACUGGUUUGCAUAUCAUUAUGACUAGAGUUUUCCAUACUAUCAACGUUCUGUACAAAAAUUGAUCCAUCUUGAAUUAUCUUUUCAAUUUCUCUUUUCAAAUCUCAACAAUCUUCAAUACUAUGACCCUGAGCAUCAGAAUGAUACACACAUCAUGCAUUAGGAUCAAAAUUUCUUGAACGCCGAUUAAGAGUGUGCCCAAGGAGAGGAGUGAUCAUGCCCUCCUAUACCAAUCUUUAAAAUAAACUGGCAUAUGACUCUCCAAUUGGUGUAAAGCUAUCUCUCGAAUUCUGCCUUAUUUCAUCAUUUAUCUUGGAUCGAAAAUUAGGCUUAGAAGGGUUUUGGUAUGUUUAUGGGUAAUAUGAUGUUUGAAAAUGUGGUUGUGCAUUAUACACUGGAUAUGGAUGUGGAGGAACAGAGUAUAAUGGAUUUUGGGAGUGAUUAUAUGGUGCUUGGGCAUAAACUUGAGCCUGAGAUCAAUGAUGACGUGGUCUUCUUAACCUUUCCUGCUAUCCAACUAUAAUAGCAGAUCCAUCUUCCUCAUUCUUUUUCUCCCCAACACUUCCUGAAUCCUUUUGAAUUGCUUAAGUAUUCACUUUCAAUGUUGCAAAACUCACAAUGCGACAAGUCUUAAUUCCCUUUUCUAUCAUCUCCCCCAUUUUAAGGACCUCAAUGAAUGGCUUGCCUAAUGCAGGUAACAAGUGUUGAUAAUAUGUUUCGUCCUGUGCUUGAAUAAAUACCUCCAGUAUCUUACUUUAUUUCAUUGGAGGUUUCACCCUAGCAGCUUGUUCACGCCAUCUAAUCGCAUAUUCUCUGAAACUUUCAGUGUUCUUCUUCUUCAUAUUAGUCUGUGAUUUCUCAUCAGGAAACAACUACACAUUGUAUUGAAAUUGUUGCAUAAAUUCAUUAGCUAGGUCAUCCCAUCUAAUCCACUUGUCAACAAACCAUUCCGAAGCUAGGCUUGAAAGAUUCUCCCUGAAAUAAGCCAUAAGUAGUUCUUCCCUCCCUUCAGCGCCCCUUAAAUGGUUACAAUAAUGUCUCAAAUGUGACACUGGGUCCCCAUGUCGAUCAUAUUUCUUAAACUUUGGGAUUUUAAAGCCAGGAGGAAGGUAGACAUCUGGAAACAUGCAUAAGUCCUUAUAUGAGACACUUUUGCAACCCCCAAGUCCUUGCAAGUUCUUCAUAGCUAGUUUCGGACUUCUCAAUUUUUUGGUCAUUUCCACUUGUUCUUCUGUCAUAAUAGGAUUCUCAAUGUUAGAAGGAAGUUCAGGCGGGUGAGUGUCACCGAAAAGACCAGUCAACUUGAAUGUAGGCUCAGUAGCGUAACGUUGAUCACCAGUAAUAUUCAAUACAAGCUCUCUUGUAGAGUAGGGAGGCACAACUUGGGGAUGAACAUCAAAAGUAGAAACUUCAGGUAGGGGUGGCGCCGCAAAAGCAUGAAUAAUAGGUGGAGCCGAGUAUGUGGUAGUCUUGCAUUAGGGAGUGAGGAAAUGAAAAUUGGAAGUGGUUGGAUAUUAUUUCCCUGGAAUCGAUCCUGAUGGAUGUUGUGGCAUGUCAACAAAAAUGUGAAAUUAUGCAUGUGACACGGGAGGCCAGCUAGAAAGAUACUCCAGAUUAUCAGUGGGAACUAGUGGAGGUGUCAACCCAUUAGCCCAAGAUCGAUGUAUUUCUAUCAUUUGCUCCCUUAAUUUUCAGAUCUCUUCAUUAGAUCCUAAAUUAUCAUUUCCCUAACUCCCUAUCUGAUUAGUGACAACAAACUCGGUAUGCUUGUUGGCCAUAACUUUCUCAAUGAGUUGGUGCAUUAUAGAGGACCAGCUAAAAUGACACAAACCAACCACCUUAAACUAACUGAACAAGAGAUAACCAAUGUGUUAGAAUUCAACAUUUUUUCCAAAACUUUUUUUCCUUUUUGAAAAGGUCACCGAACCCAAGAAGGGCGCCUACGUAUCUCACCCCCGAGAGAGGAGAAUCAAGUGUGCAUAGUUUGUGAAGUCUUGCCAAAAUUACCAAAUUAAACUGUUUUUUUUCUUGAAAGUUUAAGAAGAAUAGAAAAUAACAAUUUGUCCAAAGAAUUGACAAAAAUCUUUUUGUAUUUUUUAGGUUUAAACAUCCUUCUAAAAAGUGAAAUUCUAUGAUUACCAAAGAAAUCUUUUUGGGUUUUCAGUUUUAAAUUUCAUACGAAAAUGAAACUUGAACCUAUUAAAGGAAUUUUUUUUUUUUGAUUUUCUUUUAAAGAUGUCUAUGAAAUCUACUCUAAAUAAAAAGUGAAGAAAAUUUUAAGUUUUUUUUUUUUUUAGAUUUCUAUACAAAAUGGAACCUACGAUUACCAAAGAAAAUCUUUUUGGAUUUUCAAUUUUACAUUUCAUACAAAAAUGAAACUUAAAACUUUUAAAGGAAAAUCUUUUUGUACUUUUCUUUUAAAGACGGAUAUGAAACACCUACCCUAAAUGAAGAGUGAAGAAAAUAAUUUUUUAAAUUUUUUAAAAUAAGAUCCCCGAACCAACAAUAGGCUGCCUACGUAUCUCACUCCCGAGAGAGGAGAAUCAAGUGUACGUUGUUUGUCCAGAUUGGACAAUUAAGGAUUAAAAUAAACUAAGACUUGACUUGAGAGACGUGAUUUCAGACGAACGAUGAGAAAUAAAAUCUUUUUGGGUUUUCAAUUAGACACUUCACACAAAACUGACACCAACAACUAUGAAAGAGAAAAAAAUCUUUUUGGCAUUUUCGCUAUAUGAAAUGUACAAAACUUUUACCAUUUUUCAUUUUCUUCUAUAAAAACUGCUAAUUUUUUAUUUUUUUUGACAAUUUCAAAUAAUGAAUGCAUGCUAAAAGAGACAAAGUGAGAAAUCUUUUUGAUAUUUUGAUUUUUGAACAAAUGACUGCAAAAAAUAAAGAAAUCUUUUUGAAUUUUGGAAUUGUUAAAAACAAAAGCCAUAAAGAAUAUUAAAAGCUGCGAAACUUUUUUUUUUCAAACGAUUUCUUGUCUAUAUACUUUACUUUUAACACAUGUUUUUCCCAAAUCAGUCCAUGAAAUAACCAUGUUACCUUCAAAGAUGCAACAUUUAGCACGUAGGGAUGCUUUAGAGGCGAGUCUCCUACAAAGAGCCAGGUGGGCCCUGCUAGGUCUUCAAUAUGAUACACAUAAGCAUGACCUAAAGACUGACCUACGUUGGGGUUCACUAAUAAGGCUUUUCGGGAAAGCAUAUGGUUGAUAGUGGCUGCUUUGCUUUUCACCUACUCCAUAACAUCGACGGCUCCCUACCUAAAAUAAGGGUGACUCAACUAGAGGUAGUGUACAACACGUGUACUAUGGACUUGUUGCAAAAAGAAUGACUCGAGUUAUGCACAUGAUGCCAGAUAUAAAGCGGUAACACAUAACACAAAAACUGUAAACAAAGAGCACGUAGGCACUCAACAGUGAAAAUACAAUAACUCAAAACAACACAAACAAAAUGUCCAUACAUCUAUAGUGCCAAACUAAGCCAAUACAACUCCAGAAAAAGCUAGAAUUCCGAAAAAUCCCCAGCAGAGUCGCCAGAGCUAUCAUACCCCUUUUAUAACUCUCCAAAAAGAUUGAUUUGAAGUUUUGAAAGGGCUUUUAUUAUUGAGUGAUUAAAUAUGAAAAUUUGUUUCGAAAAAAGAUUAUUUACAUUUAAACUCAGAGUCUCCACUUGGCAUAAACCGGUGAGCCAAGUCACCUUUGGAAAAUCCUUUUCAAAAUGAUUUGACUCUUGAAACUGGUUUGCGAAUAGAGAUUCUGGUUAAGGAAUUCUAUUGAUCAAGGGGAAGAUUUUAGGCACCCCUCGAUCCCGUGGUUUGACCACGGUCGCUUGGUAGAGUGAAUUGGCUAAUCUGGCACUACAAUUUAUAAACCACACAAAAAUACGUAAACCAAUCAAACAAACAAAGAAAAUAAAAUGAAUCAAAAAUAUGGUGUCCAGUCCGAGUUAUACAGUCCCGAAAUAAAAAAAUAUGGAAAUGUAAAUUCUAUUCUAAACUAAUCCUAGACUAAGCUCCAAUGCCUCACCCGAUGCCUCCGGCCUUCAUCACGAACGUCCUCCAAGUACAAGAUACUUCGGGGCAUUCCCCGGAAAAAUCAAUACAAAUCCCUCGGGGCAUUACCCGGCCAAAUGAAUACAUUUUUAGUGUGAGAAAAUCAAACUAUUCAACAAAAUUUUGAAUAUUCCACGGAAUUUCCAACAUUCAACCAAAGCCACAAAUCUAAACUUUGCCUACCCAACCUAUGUUUGCCUAAACCAAUCGAUGUAUCAUGAUACUAUUAAGUUCAAUUAACAUUCAUUUCAAGUCAAACAACCUAUGAAUAAAGCUAACCAAAAUUCACCAAUUAUAUCGAGUUUUCAAUUCUUACCCCCAAAUUCCCUUUUAAUGCUAAUUUUCCUCAAUUCACGAUUUCUAUUUUAAUGAAAUUAAGAAAAAAGUCAAUGUCAAAGUAGCAAUUCAUCACUAAUCAAUAUCAAGAUCAAACAACACACAAAUUUCAUUCAAUGCACCAUAUUCCAUCAACAAUGAAAUAAAAAGAGGAAAGGAGUAGAAAUGGACCUCAAUGAUGAUCUUACUCCGAAUAUCAGUCAAUUGAGAAGACGAAUUUGCAUGCCCAAGAACCUCGAUCUAAAACCUCAGUAACAACCUGACCUCAGACAUCAACCUCCAAGUCUCAAACCACAAUUUUUACACAAUUCCCCAAAAGCUGAUUGGAAACUUAGAACAAACGAGAAAUUCGAGCAAAAUCAAAAUUAAAUCGGACCACAACUCUGAAAGUCAACCAUAAUUUUAAGUUAUUUUCUCAACUAAGAAGUGACGAGGCUACUGGUAGCUCGUGGAUGGUGCUUUCUGGUGGCUUUGGGCUUGGGGAAGGAGUGUCUUUGGGCUAAGGUGUCAUUUUCGUCUAGCCGGAGCUCCGGCGAGAUUAGACGAUGACGGGAAAGGGAGGACGGAUGAAAUUUUGAUGAUAAUGGCACUUUUUGAAGAGAACCUCGCCAGAGCAGUUAACCCCCAUCACUCUUCUCCUCUCUCGACCUCUCUUCUUUUCUCAAUCUCUCUCCAAAACCCUUCCCAUUCACUCCGAUCAAAGAUGUAUAACAUUGUGUUGUAUGCUUAUCUUCUUCCGUGUAAGUGUAUUUAUGUAUGGUAUUGUGUGUGUGCGUAUUGUCUGUGCUCCAAUAUUGAAAUCUGGGAGCAUCCCCUGUUUCUAUGUGUUCAUGGCCUAUAUGUGAUGAUUUCUAGAGAGAAAAGAGAAAAUGGCCAUGGGUUGGUGACUU
Molecule: long non-coding RNA, 9910 nt
Filed under: Capsicum annuum
Lineage: Eukaryota; Viridiplantae; Streptophyta; Magnoliopsida; Solanales; Solanaceae
Description: long non-coding RNA (CANN_LNC018475)
Source: RNAcentral